Molecule: long non-coding RNA, 4208 nt
Organism: Brassica napus (rape)
Lineage: Eukaryota; Viridiplantae; Streptophyta; Magnoliopsida; Brassicales; Brassicaceae
Exons: 4
Source: RefSeq, a predicted model, not a curated record
AUUUCGUUUCGCUUUUUUUUUCUAAAGAAAACUGAAUAACUAAAAAUGUAAAAUACCCAUUUUUUCAAAUUCUAAAAAAUUUGGAGGAAAAAAAUGGUUGUUUAAUGGUUCAAAAGGUGCGAGGGAAGAGUAUAUCGUUUGCCUCCUACCUAAUUUUGCAGUAAUUACUUAAAACCGGAUUUCUAAUUUUGAAGUCUAAACAAAGCAACCGACAUAAGCAAUAUUAAAUUUAAUGACUUAUGAGAUAGUAUCUUACGAUAGGCUACUUAAUUCCAACCAAUUAAAUAAUGACAUGUCAGAUUCAUCUAACCCUCAUAUCACCUAGAUUAAUCGUUGAUCAAUUAUGAGGCUUCCUUCGCUUUACAUUUAACCCAUUUGCUAUUUUUUUUAAUUAUGCUUUCAAAUAGCCGUGAAUAGACCCAAAUUAUUUGACAAGCAGAUCGUAACCCACGCAGACUCAUCCACUUCGUCUUCCUCCUCUUCCUCCUCCUCUGAAAAUCUCUUCCGUUAUCUCAACCUCCAAAAUUUCUCUGAAACGUUCUCACGCUAUCUACUGUUUCAAUUCUCCGCCUCCACACAAUAUAUAUGUCUCCACGCUUUGGCUUUUCACCUUCACAAAAGUCAUCAGACCCUAAUAGUCGAAGGAACCAAUGGCGCUAUCAAAAUGGUGAAAUCUAAUGGCAAGGAACCCACAACUCUGAUCUUCAACGACUUCACUCUUGGUUUGGGAGAGGCGGAGCUCUGUUUCCGGUUAGUACACUUAUGGGAUGCACAAAACACAUCCAGAGGGGGUAUGCUUAUUAGUGUUGAACUGCUUAUGACCAAUGAACAUGGUGUUGUUGUACCAUUUGUUUGACGGUCGCAGUCUCUCCAUUAGUUUCACACACAAUUCCGCUUCAAGACAACCAGGUGGUGAUUGACUCAGAUAGAUUCAGUUUCCAUUCAUUAAAAGAUUUUGAGGCGCCUAAGAGGUGACUCUACAAUAAGAUUUAUUUUUUGUCACCUCCUAUAAUUAUUUACUUAAAUUUUGUACCUUUGCUAAGGCUCCCCUCGAGGACUAAUUUCUUCAAUGAUUGUGGCUGACGUAGUUGGGCACAUGAAGCUCAUCAAUGAGCAGCCUCUCUACCAACAGCCGGUUCUUGACAGAAUGGACAGAGCAAGUUGGCGAGUUUUGGUGCAUCUACAGUCUAAAGAGUAGCAGAUGCAGUGUCAUAGUAAAAUUUGUCCUAUGAUGUUAACUCAGAGCUUGAUUUUAGAUCAACAUGCAAGAUUAUUAUGUUAAUGUUUUACUUUUACUGAUUUUGUGUCUCAUUUUAUUGAAGCACCUGAAAGAAGAGAUGGGGUUGGGCUAUCUGGCUCAGAAGAUUAUUUCAGUUGGCCCCCUAUCUCCAGCAUCCCGGAAUAGUUCUUAGAAUGUUCAUUAAUUCUUCAAUCUUAAUCUCAAGAAACCAACAUGAUUAACCGCAUACGUCUGAGUACAGACUUUGACACCCGUAACUUUUAACCACCAAACAAGCUUUUGGCACUAACUUAUUCCUAAACCUAAAACUGCAGAGAUUUUCUUUUGCCUUGGACUUCUUUUUGUUGUAAUGACUGUCUUAGUUCCUUCAGUUCAACCUCUUUUCUCCCACGGAUUUUACAGUUUUGAGUAUCGUGCGGUAAUGAAUUAGACUCUCUUCUUCUUUUCCGUUGGAUUCUCUUUCAUUUUUUCGUAUGACUCAUUGCGGUUCUUAGGUUACAGUGUUCCAAUGAGCCCACUUGCUGAACAUAGAUUCAUGAAAAUAUGGGGAACCGAGUUUCUUUUUCAGCUCAUAAAGAUGCAUACAUGACAUUGUCAUCUGUUCUACAGAUAUUUAGCUAUUGUUUGCAGCUGUAUAAACCAACCUUUAGCCUUUUGUAGUUCCUGUAUUUGAUCGUAGCUACGUCAGCGUUGACCUUUUUUUGUUGUUGUGCAGGUAGGAUGAGAGGCUUCAUAGAUUGGGUUUUCCAUCUACCCAACUUGAUGGCAUCAUCAUCUAUACUGCUUUUGGAGAGUGACCCUUUCUCCCGAGAGAAUGAAGAAAAGAAUAACCAGUGCUGUUGGGAAUUGCUACAGUUUGUGUUAAGAUCACGAAGCUGCUCUUAAGAUGUUUCAGAUAGCUAUCCAACUGAAUUAAAGAUUCACAUAUGCACAUACCCUUUGUGGUCAUGCGUACAAUUUUUUCGAGGCCAGUGUAUCCAUCUUCUAAGCCGGUAAAAAGAUUGGGACAAGCUGGAAGCUGAAGUGAAGACCAUGUUCCUCUUUUAGCUCCACAGAGGCGCUCAAGUGGAUACGCAGGAAUGGUGACAGAGAGAUAACAUUGGUAGCAGAGAGAAGCUCCAGAGAAAGCAGGGACAAAGCCAUUGGCUGGCCGAGUUAUCUUGAGAGGGAAAAGAAGAAAGGCUCAAAAAUACGAGUUAAUUAUCAACAAAAUCUAGAGGAGCAGAGCUGAAUACUGGGGAGAUUCUCUUGCGUCUUGCAAGGAUAACAUAAGGAAAUUGAAUAGGACCUGACUGUGGCUAUGUGCUUAGUUUUGGUUUACUGAUUUUAAUCGCUUAUGAUCCUAAGUUAUGGAACUAGAAGCUACUCACGACUAUACUCUAUAGAAUUGCAGCAGUGGUGCCAUUAGAAUCUACAUGAACAUGCAUGUAACAAAAAUGAAGUGGCUCAAAUAAGAGAGUCAAAACAAGAACCGUGGAUUGAAAGAGAGUGAUAGAAUGUUUGCUUACUUCCUAGGCUCAGAUCCCUUAACCUCUUAUUAAAGGAGAAGCUGUCAAAUGUGUUUCCAGUACUUAAUACUCCAUCCGUUCCCGAAAGUAAGAUUUUCUAGAGUUUCUUCUUGUUCCACAAAAAUAGAUUUUCUAUAUUUUUAAGGUACUUUGUAUACUUUUGAGAAACAUUAAUUAUGAAUAUUUGAAUUGAUUAAAUUUUAUUGGUGGAUAGUUAUUGGAAAGUGUAUUGAAAAGUAAAUUGUAGAUUAAAUUGUAGAUUAAAUUGUAAACAUUUAUUAUUUUCUUAAUAAACGUGAAAACUCUAGAAAAUCUUACUUUCGGGAACAGAGAGAAUAUUAAAAACACACCAUGUUUAUUUUUUCUUUUUGAUCAAACACCAUGUUUACCCUUAUUGAGAUAUUGUCCAGUUCAUGUACUCUAAUAGUAACUGAAGGUAUUGCUGUAUAUAUAUGGACAUUCUUUCAAAGGUGAUUUCAAAGGUGAUAGAGAUGGUGUCACAAAACUACGAACGAAUCUUUCAUAAUACACUCAUAAAUUUAUGAAUAUGAUUUGAGUAAGAAAAAAAUUAUUCACGUGGGAUGAAAACGGUCAAGAAUUAAUGAAAAGAAAACAAAAUUUAUGAGGAAAGUUUAUUGUGUAUAUACAAAAAAAAAGUUACAAAGAGAAUGAAGAACUAAGGCGGACACAAAUAACAAAAACCAAGCAAAAACACAUAUACAAACCAAAAUUAAUUAUACCUCAUAAUUCAAAUGAAAAAAACAAUCACACGAUUAUAUAUAAAUCAUUUCAGAAUCAUUCAAUCACAAAACUUAAAUGAAAACAAAAACAAAAAAAAUAAUAACGCGCAAUACACGUAUUGGAAUUUGCCAUAAAUUCUUAGCACUGACAUCAGAUAAUCCAGACGUAAAAAAUAUUAGAAAUAUUAAAAUGGAUAUACACUAUCCUUUCCGUUUAUUUAAAAUAAUUAAUAGAUAAACACAAUUUGAAUAUAUUUCAUAUAAAAUAAUAAAAAUUAAUGUAUUACAACUAAUUAACCUAACAUUCAAUAUGUAAAAAAUAUCUUUUGCUAUUCUUCUUUGUUAACCAAAUAAAAAAAAUUAUAUCAUAACAACUCAAUAUAAAAUUACUGUCAUACAUUUUAAAACAAAAUUGGUAUGAUACUUUAUUAAAUAAAUGUUUAAAGAAAAAAUGAAACAUGAAAAAAUAGAAAAUAUAUCAAAAGAAAAUGGAACAAAAAACAAACAUUAUAUAAUAACUAAUUAAAAUACACAAUCCACGCAGAGCUCGGAAAAAAAUCUCUAGUUGACAUAAAGAGACUCGAGAACAAUCAUAGAAGUGGAGAAGUGAAGUAAAAAUUACAUAACGUUUAUUAGAAACAUGAACUCCUCCUACAAGGCUAAGAGACCAAAUAAAAUAAGCAAAACAGAGUCUAAGAAACAUGAGGGAACAAGGCAAAA